UGGGCUGGGGCUCAGUGGUAGAGCGCUUGCCUAGAAUGUGUGAGGCGCUGGGUUCAAACCUCAGCACCACAU
This 72-nucleotide transfer RNA is filed under the name Ictidomys tridecemlineatus (thirteen-lined ground squirrel). RNAcentral describes it as "Spermophilus tridecemlineatus (thirteen-lined ground squirrel) tRNA". It matches the Rfam family "tRNA". From Rfam's summary of the family: Transfer RNA (tRNA) molecules are approximately 80 nucleotides in length. Their secondary structure includes four short double-helical elements and three loops (D, anti-codon, and T loops). Lineage: Eukaryota; Metazoa; Chordata; Mammalia; Rodentia; Sciuridae. The record is from Rfam by way of RNAcentral.